GAUGAACGCUGGCGGCGUGCCUAAUACAUGCAAGUCGAGCGAACAGACGAGGAGCUUGCUCCUCUGACGUUAGCGGCGGACGGGUGAGUAACACGUGGAUAACCUACCUAUAAGACUGGGAUAACUUCGGGAAACCGGAGCUAAUACCGGAUAAUAUAUUGAACCGCAUGGUUCAAUAGUGAAAGACGGUUUUGCUGUCACUUAUAGAUGGAUCCGCGCCGCAUUAGCUAGUUGGUAAGGUAACGGCUUACCAAGGCAACGAUGCGUAGCCGACCUGAGAGGGUGAUCGGCCACACUGGAGCUGCGACACGGUCCAGACUCCUACGGGAGGCAGCAGUAGGGAAUCUUCCGCAAUGGGCGAAAGCCUGACGGAGCAUCGCCGCGUGAGUGAUGAAGGUCUUCGGUUCGUAAAACUCUGUUAUUAGGGAAGAACAAAUGUGUAAGUAACUAUGCACGUCUUGACGGUACCUAAUCAGAAAGCCACGGCUAACUAC
Molecule: ribosomal RNA, 494 nt
Filed under: uncultured bacterium
Lineage: Bacteria
Description: partial 16S ribosomal RNA
Rfam family: Bacterial small subunit ribosomal RNA
Source: RNAcentral